AUUGAACGCUGGCGGCAGGCCUAACACAUGCAAGUCGAGCGGAUGAAGGGAGCUUGCUCCUGGAUUCAGCGGCGGACGGGUGAGUAAUGCCUAGGAAUCUGCCUGGUAGUGGGGGAUAACGUCCGGAAACGGGCGCUAAUACCGCAUACGUCCUGAGGGAGAAAGUGGGGGAUCUUCGGACCUCACGCUAUCAGAUGAGCCUAGGUCGGAUUAGCUAGUUGGUGGGGUAAAGGCCUACCAAGGCGACGAUCCGUAACUGGUCUGAGAGGAUGAUCAGUCACACGGGAACUGAGAAACGGUCCAGACUCCUACGGGAGGCAGCAGUGGGGAAUAUUGGACAAUGGGCGAAAGCCUGAUCAGCCAUGCCGCGUGUGUGAAGAAGGUCUUCGGAUUGUAAAGCACUUUAAGUUGGGAGGAAGGGCAGUAAGUUAAUACCUUGCUGUUUUGACGUUACCAACAGAAUAAGCACCGGCUAACUUCGUG
Molecule: ribosomal RNA, 483 nt
Filed under: uncultured bacterium
Lineage: Bacteria
Description: partial 16S ribosomal RNA
Rfam family: Bacterial small subunit ribosomal RNA
Source: RNAcentral